RNAcentral lists this small nuclear RNA (19 nucleotides) under Arabidopsis thaliana (thale cress). RNAcentral describes it as "snRNA_16723". Lineage: Eukaryota; Viridiplantae; Streptophyta; Magnoliopsida; Brassicales; Brassicaceae. The record is from RNAcentral.
GACGACACCAAUGAUGACA